Molecule: ribosomal RNA, 253 nt
Filed under: uncultured bacterium
Lineage: Bacteria
Description: partial 16S ribosomal RNA
Rfam family: Bacterial small subunit ribosomal RNA
Source: RNAcentral
UACGAAGGGUGCAAGCGUUAUUCGGAAUUAUUGGGCGUAAAGCGCGCGCAGGCGGAUUGAUAAGUCAGGUGUGAAAUCUCGAGGCUCAACCUCGAAACUGCGCCUGAAACUAUUAGUCUAGAGUGUUGGAGGGGGUAGGGGAAUUUCACGUGUAGGGGUAAAAUCCGUAGAGAUGUGAAGGAACACCGGAGGCGAAGGCGCCUACCUGGACAACUACUGACGCUGAGGCGCGAAAGCGUGGGGAGCAAACAGG